RNAcentral lists this ribosomal RNA (1017 nucleotides) under Triticum aestivum (bread wheat). RNAcentral describes it as "partial small subunit ribosomal RNA". Lineage: Eukaryota; Viridiplantae; Streptophyta; Magnoliopsida; Poales; Poaceae. The record is from RNAcentral.
AUGUUUGAAGCCAAGAAGCUUCUUGCACGCCUUGAAGAUGUGACCCCGCUUCUUCUUCUUCCUCUCCUUGCCGAUCUCGUCGCUGCUCGCCGCGGCGUCUCCCUGCACCUCCGGCUCUACGGCCUCCGCCACCUGAUGCUUCUUCUGCUCGUCGACCUCCUCGGGCGCCUCGGCGUCGUCGUCGCCGUCUUCCAGGCCGUCGUGGAUCCGCCAGUACCCCUCCGAGAGGCUGGACGCCGGCUGCCUCCGCAUGGAGAAGGCCCGCCUCACGACCGCCUGGAAGCCGCCGCCGCGGUGGCCGCCGGUGGACUUGCUCCGCUCCACGGCCGCGAACCUCUGGGAGGCGGACGAGAGGUUCCUGACCAUGGCCGCCGCGCCGACCGCCGCCCCCUCCCACUUGCCCUCCUUCGCCGUCGCCGGGGGCCGGGCUGGCUCCGGCUCCCCGCCGCUGGGCGCCGGAGGGGACGAGGCGAGGUUGCGGUAGCCGUUCAUCCUCCCGCUUCAGUUACCGCCGCUGCUGCUACGAGUGUACUGAUCUGCGGGCGUGGGGCUGGUGGCGAGGAGGUUCUCAGGUCUGGGAUUUGUACUCGCGUGCGAGGUGGAGUGGAUGCGGCGCGUGCGCGGUGCUCGUCACUCGUCAGCAGCGGCACUGCGGCAGUGGAGAAUGAGAACGGAGGAAGUAGUGCUGUGAGUGUGAGAUCAGCCGCUCCGGCCUUGUGUUGUCGCGGUGUUGUGUUGGGUUGGGUUUGGGGCGAUUGGGGCCCCGCGGGAGCGUCCAAUUUGACCACCACGUCAGGGCUCCGGCCACGGGGUUUCGUGACGCCAAUUCGCAUCCACGGGAAUUGCUACGCUACAAUCCAGUGCAUAUGGAUUCUUUGUCGCCUUGACAUGACGUGUUACCAACCAAACUGUCACCCUCUUAUCUGGCAUGAAUUCAGGCGCUUGAACGAGCGUGCACUCUCUCCCUGGUGCAAGUUCAACCGACUCACUAUCCUACUCUGCAUUAGAAAAUACUGA